AAACCCUGACGCAGCAACGCCGCGUGUGGGAAGAAGGCCUUCGGRUCGUAAACCACUUUUACUCGGGACGAAAAAGGSAUAUCAAAUAAAUAUCCCCGAUGACGGUACCGUGAGAAUAAGCCACGGCUAACUCUGUGCCAGCAGCCGCGGUAAGACAGAGGUGGCAAGCGUUGUUCGGAAUUACUGGGCGUAAAGAGUCUGUAGGUGGUUUGUCAAGUCUUUGGUGAAAGGCCGUAGCUUAACUAUGGGAAUGCCAAAGAGACUGGCAGGCUGGAGGCUGGGAGAGGGAAGCGGAAUUUCUGGUGUAGCGGYGAAAUGCGUAGAUAUCAGAAGGAAGGCCGGUGGCUGAAGGCGGCUUCCUGGAACAGUCCUGACACUGAGAGACGAAAGCGUGGGGAGCAAACAGGAUUAGAUACCCUGGUAGUCCACGCCCUAAACGAUGGGUACUAAGUGUGGAGGGGUUAAACCCUCCGUGCCGCAGCAAACGCAGUAAGUACCCCGCCUGGGGAGUACGGCCSAAGGUUGAAACUCAAA
RNAcentral lists this ribosomal RNA (534 nucleotides) under uncultured Leptospirillum sp. RNAcentral's name for it is "bacterial SSU rRNA". It matches the Rfam family "Bacterial small subunit ribosomal RNA", at positions 378 to 905 of the family's 1533-position model. Lineage: Bacteria; Pseudomonadati; Nitrospirota; Nitrospiria; Nitrospirales; Nitrospiraceae. The record is from RNAcentral.